GCUGGGCAUGGUGAUGUGUGCCUGUGGUCCCAACUACUAGGGAGGCUGAGGUGGGAGAAUCACUUGAGCCCAGAAGGUCAAGGCUGCAGUGAGUCGUGAUCACGCCACUGCACUCUGGUCUGGAUGACAGAGUGAGACCCUGUCUCAA
This is an unclassified non-coding RNA of Macaca fascicularis (crab-eating macaque), 148 nucleotides long. It matches the Rfam family "Metazoan signal recognition particle RNA". Rfam says of the family: The signal recognition particle (SRP) is a universally conserved ribonucleoprotein. It is involved in the co-translational targeting of proteins to membranes. The eukaryotic SRP consists of a 300-nucleotide 7S RNA and six proteins: SRPs 72, 68, 54, 19, 14, and 9. NCBI's taxonomy places the organism in Eukaryota, Metazoa, Chordata, Mammalia, Primates, Cercopithecidae. The record is from Ensembl.